This 509-nucleotide long non-coding RNA is filed under the name Capsicum annuum. RNAcentral's name for it is "long non-coding RNA (CANN_LNC016743)". The record is from RNAcentral. Lineage: Eukaryota; Viridiplantae; Streptophyta; Magnoliopsida; Solanales; Solanaceae.
CGAUUUCUGUUCUUCAGAAAGAUGGAAAAAUCGAAUCAAAUUGAACUAAUUCGGUUCUUCGAUUUCUGUUCUUCAAAAAGAUAAGGAAAAAUCGAAUCAAAUUGAACUAAUUAAUCAAACUGAACUAAUUCGGUUUUUCGAUAUCUGUUCUUCACAAAGAUAGAAAAAUUGAAUCAAAUUGAACUAAUUCGUUUUUUCGAUAUCUGUUCUUCAGAAAGAUGGAAAAAUCGAAUUAAAUUGAACUAAUUAAUCAAAUUGAACUAAUUCGGUUUUUCGAUAUCUGUUCUUCAUAAAGAUAGGAAAAAUUGAAUCAAAUUGAACUAAUUCGGUUCUUUAAGUUUUGUUCUUCAUAAAGAUGAAAAAAUCGAACCAAAUUGAACUGUGAUUCGGUUCUUCAGUUUCUGUUCUUCAUAAAGAUGGAAGAAUCGAACCAAACUGAACUAAUUCGAUUUUUCAGUUUUUGUUCUUCGGAAACAUGAAAAAAUCGAACCAAACAGAACUACUUCGCC